Molecule: long non-coding RNA, 671 nt
Filed under: Capsella grandiflora
Lineage: Eukaryota; Viridiplantae; Streptophyta; Magnoliopsida; Brassicales; Brassicaceae
Description: long non-coding RNA (CGRA_LNC001048)
Source: RNAcentral
CAGAAGUGGCUCUCCUCCUCCCACUCCUCUUGUCCCACUUGCAGGGCAAACAUCUUCUCCUCCCCACCUCAACUUCACUCACCACAGAGCUUACAACUAACAAGUACUACAGAUUAGUCAAUUGGUAGCUUUCUGGUUUACUUUGCUCAUUUUUUCUCCUCUUAAUUGUCAUUACCACUCCUCACACCUCUAUCAUGAUUUCCAAGUUAGUUUAUUUGUAACCUGUUGGUCUUAGUAUAUUCCAUGAAAUCAUAAAAAUUACACACACGCUGGAAAUUGAUGUAAAGUCACUUUUGUGAAUCAUCAUCAUAUACAACCCAAAAAGCAAACAAAGACCAGUGUGUAAACGAAGCAGAAACCUUACCUCAUAAUACAGAGGGGCAAAAGGCUUAAUUCAAUAUUGGAGUUCAAGAAAUAUGAGGUCUUGAAAUGGUGUUAACCUCUCAAUUGUUGGAUAAGAAAGAGAAGAGGUGUUACUGGAUAAGAUAAUGGAUAGAGUGAGCAGAAGAAAAAAAAUGGUGGAAUGACUCACAUUACGAGCAUUAACUCCAUUGUCCUAGUAUGAUUCUAGGCUUUCUAGCAAUAGGAGAAAAUUCCAAGUGCAUACAAAGGUGUUCUACAUUUAAUUUCUAUACCACAUUUUACGUGGUAACAUGAUGAGAGCUAGGUAC